Molecule: ribosomal RNA, 251 nt
Filed under: uncultured bacterium
Lineage: Bacteria
Description: partial 16S ribosomal RNA
Rfam family: Bacterial small subunit ribosomal RNA
Source: RNAcentral
ACGUAGGGGGCAAGCGUUAUCCGGAUUUACUGGGUGUAAAGGGAGCGUAGACGGCACGGCAAGCCAGAUGUGAAAGCCCGGGGCUCAACCCCGGGACUGCAUUUGGAACUGCUGAGCUAGAGUGUCGGAGAGGCAAGCGGAAUUCCUAGUGUAGCGGUGAAAUGCGUAGAUAUUAGGAGGAACACCAGUGGCGAAGGCGGCUUGCUGGACGAUGACUGACGUUGAGGCUCGAAAGCGUGGGGAGCAAACAG